GGCCGAAAGCGUAGGUGAUGGACAACAGGUUGAUAUUCCUGUACUACCGAUAACCGUUUGAGAGAGGGGAUGACACAGUAGGAUAAGCUAAGCACACGGUUGGUUAUGUGGGCCCAAGCAUUGAGGCAGUCAAAGUAGGCAAAUCCGCUUUGAUAAUGCUGGGAUGUGAUGGGGAGCGAAAUUUAGGAGCGAAGUAGAUGAUUACACACUGUCAAGAAAAGUCUC
RNAcentral lists this ribosomal RNA (225 nucleotides) under Clostridioides difficile. Its description in RNAcentral is "partial 23S ribosomal RNA". It matches the Rfam family "Bacterial large subunit ribosomal RNA", at positions 1400 to 1621 of the family's 2925-position model. Lineage: Bacteria; Bacillati; Bacillota; Clostridia; Peptostreptococcales; Peptostreptococcaceae. The record is from RNAcentral.